UAGGGAAUCUUCGGCAAUGGGGGGAACCCUGACCGAGCAACGCCGCGUGAGUGAAGAAGGUUUUCGGAUCGUAAAGCUCUGUUGUUAAGGAAGAACGAGUGUGAGAAUGGAAAGUUCAUACUGUGACGGUACUUAACCAGAAAGGGACGGCUAACUACGUGCCAGCAGCCGCGGUAAUACGUAGGUCCCGAGCGUUGUCCGGAUUUAUUGGGCGUAAAGCGAGCGCAGGCGGUUAGAUAAGUCUGAAGUUAAAGGCAGUGGCUCAACCAUUGUAGUCCUUGGAAACUGUUUAAUUUGAGUGCAGAAGGGGAGAGUGGAAUUCCAUGUGUAGCGGUGAAAUUCUUAGAUAUAUGGAGGAACCCCGGUGGCGAAAGCGGCUCUCUGGUCUGUAACUUACGCUGAGGCUCGAAAGCGUGGGGGGCGAACAGG
This 429-nucleotide ribosomal RNA is filed under the name Bacteroidota bacterium. RNAcentral's name for it is "Bacteroidetes bacterium partial 16S ribosomal RNA". It matches the Rfam family "Bacterial small subunit ribosomal RNA", at positions 355 to 776 of the family's 1533-position model. The record is from RNAcentral. Lineage: Bacteria; Pseudomonadati; Bacteroidota.